UACGUAGGGUGCGAUCGUUAAUCGGAAUUACUGGGCGUAAAGCGUGCGCAGGCGGUUCGCUAAGACAGGUGUGAAAUCCCCGGGCUUAACCUGGGAAUGGCGCUUGUGACUGGCGGGCUGGAGUACGGCAGAGGGAGGUGGAAUUCCACGUGUAGCAGUGAAAUGCGUAGAGAUGUGGAGGAACACCGAUGGCGAAGGCAGCCUCCUGGGCCAGUACUGACGCUCAUGCACGAAAGCGUGGGGAGAAAACAGG
This 253-nucleotide ribosomal RNA is filed under the name uncultured bacterium. Its description in RNAcentral is "partial 16S ribosomal RNA". It matches the Rfam family "Bacterial small subunit ribosomal RNA", at positions 524 to 776 of the family's 1533-position model. The record is from RNAcentral.